GCUUCUAUGACGUUAGCGGCGGACGGGUGAGUAACACGUGGGCAACCUGCCUGUAAGACUGGGAUAACUUCGGGAAACCGAAGCUAAUACCGGAUAGGAUCUUCUCCUUCAUGGGAGAUGAUUGAAAGAUGGUUUCGGCUAUCACUUACAGAUGGGCCCGCGGUGCAUUAGCUAGUUGGUGAGGUAACGGCUCACCAAGGCAACGAUGCAUAGCCGACCUGAGAGGGUGAUCGGCCACACUGRSWSWRRRMCACGGCCCAGACUCCUACGGGAGGCAGCAGUAGGGAAUCUUCSGCAAUKGACGAAAGUCUGACGGAGCAACGCCGCGUGAGUGAUGAAGGCUUUCGGGUCGUAAAACUCUGUUGUUAGGGAAGAACAAGUACGAGAGUAACUGCUCGUACCUUGACGGUACCUAACCAGAAAGCCACGGCUAACUACGUGCCAGCAGCCGCGGUAAUACGUAGGUGGCAAGCGUUAUCCGGAAUUAUUGGGCGUAAAGCGCGCGCAGGCGGUUUCUUAAGUCUGAUGUGAAAGCCCACGGCUCAACCGUGGAGGGUCAUUGGAAACUGGGGAACUUGAGUGCAGAAGAGAAAAGCGGAAUUCCACGUGUAGCGGUGAAAUGCGUAGAGAUGUGGAGGAACACCAGUGGCGAAGGCGGCUUUUUGGUCUGUAACUGACGCUGAGGCGCGAAAGCGUGGGGAGCAAACAGGAUUAGAUACCCUGGUAGUCCACGCCGUAAACGAUGAGUGCUAAGUGUUAGAGGGUUUCCGCCCUUUAGUGCUGCAGCUAACGCAUUAAGCACUCCGCCUGGGGAGUACGGUCGCAAGACUGAAACUCAAAGGAAUUGACGGGGGCCCGCACAAGCGGUGGAGCAUGUGGUUUAAUUCGAAGCAACGCGAAGAACCUUACCAGGUCUUGACAUCCUCUGACAACUCUAGAGAUAGAGCGUUCCCCUUCGGGGGACAGAGUGACAGGUGGUGCAUGGUUGUCGUCAGCUCGUGUCGUGAGAUGUUGGGUUAAGUCCCGCAACGAGCGCAACCCUUGAUCUUAGUUGCCAGCAUUUAGUUGGGCACUCUAAGGUGACUGCCGGUGACAAACCGGAGGAAGGUGGGGAUGACGUCAAAUCAUCAUGCCCCUUAUGACCUGGGCUACACACGUGCUACAAUGGAUGGUACAAAGGGCUGCAAGACCGCGAGGUCAAGCCAAUCCCAUAAAACCAUUCUCAGUUCGGAUUGUAGGCUGCAACUCGCCUACAUGAAGCUGGAAUCGCUAGUAAUC
RNAcentral lists this ribosomal RNA (1278 nucleotides) under Bacillus sp. LJ4. RNAcentral's name for it is "bacterial SSU rRNA". It matches the Rfam family "Bacterial small subunit ribosomal RNA", at positions 80 to 1343 of the family's 1533-position model. The record is from RNAcentral. Lineage: Bacteria; Bacillati; Bacillota; Bacilli; Caryophanales; Bacillaceae.